CUCUCCCACUCGCGCCAGCCCCUCUCCUCUUCCCCCCGACUCGCCUCUCUCCCCCUGGUCCAAACCCUAGGCCCACGCCCGCCGCCGCCGCCGCUCGCCCAGGCCAUCCUCCCGCUAUGAAGGAAGCGGCCAGAGAGGAAGGGCGUCGCUGGGUGUGCGCGUGCCUCCGCGGAUUCGCUCCGCGGUUGCCGGUGGCGUGGACGCCGUGGGUCAACCGCGCCAAGGAGGAUGGGGGCGCCACAAGCCUCAUCGGAGGUCGCCGCCGCUCGCCCGGGCACCCAUCCACGACCACACACUACCCUAGAAGAAGAUUGGGGCUGCGGGCGAUGAGGUCGACGCCCCGUCGUCCCGUCUUCUGCGAGCUCGAUGUGCGCGGCCUCGGGGGCGCGGCGGACGGUGCCGCCAAGGACAUGUUGGAGGCCAGACCGUGCGCGCGGCCGAGGAGCACCAGCAGUAGGCACUCGAUGCGGCGCUCCCCCCGUCACUCCUCCUUCUACGUCCGCUGCAGGUGCUCCCCCGUCGCCCCUCCUUCUCCUUCAUCCUCAGGAGAGGAUCGGCUGCAGGAGACGAACAUGCUGUGUUGGGAUGGAGGAGAAGGGCAUGGGGAUGUUAGUCACCAGUGACAAGCCUGCCCAGAUCUACUUCUCCACAGAGGCUUGAUGUACAUAUCCAUGACUACUUGCUCAAGUGAAAUAUCAAAAUUGCCAACAUGUUCCUGGUACAGGGGGAGAUGCUUCAUAAAAAAAAAAGGGCAACCUGGUGCAUGUAGCUCCCGCUUGCGCAGGGUCCAGGGAAGGGUCCGACCACUUUGGGUCUAUAGUACGCAGCCUUUCCCUACAUUUCUGUAAGAGGCUGUUUCCAGGACUUGAACCCAUGACCUCAUGGUCACAAGGCAGCAGCUUUACCACUGCGCCAAGGCUCCCCUUCGGGGAGAUGCUUCAUGAAUCCUUCAAUUUGUAAGUACCAUUGUUGCUUCUGUUUAGUAUGCUUCAAGUUUGGAAGAUUGACAAAAUGUGGCCAGCUUGCUCUAGGGCUUUAAGAUUGGAAGAUGCAAAAACAUGAAGCAAUUUAUUCAGUUGUUUUUCUGUUUGCAUAGUGGUCCACAAGGCAGAUUAUCUUUAUCUCAAUAUGCACACAAAAGCUGAUCUUAAAUGGUUUGGUUAAUGCCAGAUUUCUUUGGUGACAUGAUUUUGGAGGUUUAGUUCAGUUUAAAAGAAAAUGCCAUGUGACUUUUAUUAUUGAUGUCUAGAUUAGAGAUCAUAUGCAAAUAAUCUUUUUCAAUUGAUAUGAUAAUUUACAGUAGAUAAAUGUUAUUAGCUCUAUACUAUGGAUUAUUUCCCAUGAUUUUUGGGUCUGGUUGGCAUAGUGAUAUUAUCUUACAACUAUCCCUUCCUACCUAUAAGUAUAAUGUCUGUCCAGAUCUUGCACUAAGCCAUUAUUUAUGAAGACUUGCCUUUGGAAAAAUUUAUAAAAUUCUUUGUGCUAGCUAACUUUGCUUAUCCAGAUUGCAUUGACAUAGUGUUCGAUCUUGCCUUCUGUUGUUACUAAUGCAAGUUGCAAUGUCAGUUUAGUCUAAUGCAACCAAGAUGAAUGUGCAUCAGUCUGGAACUGAGAUUCUCAAUAUUCACAUUGUCGAUAACAAGGUACCUAACUAUGUAUAUAGUGAAGUCUACUUCUUUUGUCCUUCCUGUUGUUAAUAGCUUUUGCAUCGCUAUUAGCCAAUCAGCAGGAUUUGAAUCAUUAUAUGAGUGCAAGGAGAUUUCAUGUGUCAUGUAAAUUGUAAGUUAUGUAUGGCUUGGUUAUUGCAGUUUUGGGUUGGGUUGCGAGCACCUCAUCUACUCAACAUCAGCUAUACUUGAUGUGUACUUGCAUAUAUGUAUCUGCCACAUAUUAUGAUACUAACGACACUUUCCUGCUACCUCGGUACUUCAGUAUGGUACAACUUUUCUGAAAAGUAAUAAGGUAAAUUAGUCAUUGUUUUGUUUGACCACGCGGAGGGCGCGCAUCCGGCUCUCGAACCCUAGAAAUUCCAGUUUCUGUUUCUUCUUCCAUCUUUAUCUUUUUUUCCUUUCUCUUCACCUGAUUGACACUAAUUUGUUUGUAUGCUUUCUUAUUUGUUUUGCAAGUACAGAUCAUGGUGUUGAUUGCUGACUCGCCUUUCAACAAGCAGUGCAGAUUUCUUGGGUGUUCAGGAGUUUGAUUCAAUACUUGAUGGCCUCAAAAUGGAUACAGGAUCUGUUGGAAUCAAGAAGGCAUUAAGAGCUCAGGUUCGAGGACAAGGCCAACCUCAUGCAGUUGAUUAAGAAUACGCUACAGGGUUUGGUGGUCCAGCACAUCGAGUGCUCGAGAGCCUGGAGCCAAGGUCAGGAAGCGCGUUGAGGCGCUCCAAAAUAUAUCCAGGUGCUACUCAAUUCGUUAGUUGCAUCUGAUUAUGCGCUAGACAACACAACAAUUUGAUUGUGAAUCUAUUCUGGUGCAGAGUCGUUCGAUGCUUGCACCGUUGUAAUUACUUUGGCUACUUCCAGUGCUGAUCAAGAGCAGGGACAACAGAUCAUGUAUCCUUUGCUUCAUGAACUAAUGUUCUAAAUUCUUCAAGCGGCGAGGCACACAUGCCUUUUAGUUGAGACCUAUUGGACCAUAGUUAUAUACAUCCAUUAGCAGUACUAUCGCAAAGCCAGUUGAUGCUAGGUGUGCUUGAAGAUGUUUCACUCCAUGGAUCAAUAGAGUACAAUGGCUUUGUCUACACUUAUCUUUAAGGCUACAACCCGGAGUCUCAUGGAGGUGUGAAGAUGAUACCCAAGUAAUCUAGGACACUAAUUUGUUACGGUUCACUUGUGUACAAGAAUGCCAUGUUCUUUCCCAUGUAAUAUAUUGUCAUUUUUUUGUUUAACAAUUAACAUCAUCUAGACUAUGUUUCUUUCUAUGGUAGUAAACAUCAUCCAGCUUUUUGGUUUGGAUCUGAGCGCUGGACCAUGGUGAUGGAGACUGCUCUUUGAAAUUCCAAUACACUAGCAGAAAGAAGCAAAAGUUGAGGACCAGGUUGUUCUGAGUAUAUUUGUCACAACAAGUAUGAUUUGGUAUGUCAUCUUAUAUUUCAUAUGAAAUUUGCCAAUGGUGUGUGAUGAAUCUUGAUGUUUUCUAUCCUUUAUAUGGAUAAGCUGUAAACUUUGUUUUAGAUUAGUACUUCCUCUCUCAUGUUUGCUUUCUUAGUACUGAACUUAGAGUCAAGUGGUUACCUUUUGUGGUCUGAUGAAAGCAUUGAAUCUCAUGAUGAUGUUGAAGUCACAUGAUGUUUUGUUUC
Molecule: long non-coding RNA, 3301 nt
Organism: Triticum dicoccoides
Lineage: Eukaryota; Viridiplantae; Streptophyta; Magnoliopsida; Poales; Poaceae
Exons: 11
Source: RefSeq, a predicted model, not a curated record